Molecule: ribosomal RNA, 401 nt
Filed under: uncultured bacterium
Lineage: Bacteria
Description: bacterial SSU rRNA
Rfam family: Bacterial small subunit ribosomal RNA
Source: RNAcentral
GAUGAACGCUAGCUACAGGCUUAACACAUGCAAGUCGAGGGGAAACGACAUCGAAAGCUUGCUUUUGAUGGGCGUCGACCGGCGCACGGGUGAGUAACGCGUAUCCAACCUGCCCAUCACUUGGGAAUAACCUUGCGAAAGUAAGACUAAUACCCAAUGAUAUCCAUAGAAGACAUCUGAAAUGGAUUAAAGAUUUAUCGGUGAUGGAUGGGGAUGCGUCUGAUUAGCUUGUUGGCGGGGUAACGGCCCACCAAGGCACGAUCAGUAGGGGUUCUGAGAGGAAGGUCCCCCACAUUGGAACUGAGACACGGUCCAAACUCCUACGGGAGGCAGCAGUGAGGAAUAUUGGUCAAUGGACGAGAGUCUGAACCAGCCAAGUAGCGUGCAGGACGACGGCCCUA